Molecule: ribosomal RNA, 497 nt
Filed under: uncultured bacterium
Lineage: Bacteria
Description: partial 16S ribosomal RNA
Rfam family: Bacterial small subunit ribosomal RNA
Source: RNAcentral
GACGAACGCUGGCGGCGUGCCUAAUACAUGCAAGUAGAACGCUGAAGAGAGGAGCUUGCUCUUCUUGGAUGAGUUGCGAACGGGUGAGUAACGCGUAGGUAACCUGCCUUGUAGCGGGGGAUAACUAUUGGAAACGAUAGCUAAUACCGCAUAACAAUGGAUGACACAUGUCAUUUAUUUGAAAGGGGCAAUUGCUCCACUACAAGAUGGACCUGCGUUGUAUUAGCUAGUAGGUGAGGUAAUGGCUCACCUAGGCGACGAUACAUAGCCGACCUGAGAGGGUGAUCGGCCACACUGGGACUGAGACACGGCCCAGACUCCUACGGGAGGCAGCAGUAGGGAAUCUUCGGCAAUGGGGGCAACCCUGACCGAGCAACGCCGCGUGAGUGAAGAAGGUUUUCGGAUCGUAAAGCUCUGUUGUAAGUCAAGAACGGGUGUGAGAGUGGAAAGUUCACACUGUAACGGUAGCUUACCAGAAAGGGACGGCUAACUACGUG